GGGGGUUUAGUAUAAUGGCAUUACUGCAGUCUCCAAAACUGCUUAUAAGGGUUCGAUUCCUUUAACCCCUG
The sequence is a transfer RNA, 71 nucleotides long. It matches the Rfam family "tRNA". Rfam says of the family: Transfer RNA (tRNA) molecules are approximately 80 nucleotides in length. Their secondary structure includes four short double-helical elements and three loops (D, anti-codon, and T loops). Further hydrogen bonds mediate the characteristic L-shaped molecular structure. tRNAs have two regions of fundamental functional importance: the anti-codon, which is responsible for specific mRNA codon recognition, and the 3' end, to which the tRNAs corresponding amino acid is attached (by aminoacyl-tRNA synthetases). tRNAs cope with the degeneracy of the genetic code in two manners: having more than one tRNA (with a specific anti-codon) for a particular amino acid; and 'wobble' base-pairing, i.e. permitting non-standard base-pairing at the 3rd anti-codon position. The record is from Rfam.